Molecule: long non-coding RNA, 1394 nt
Filed under: Equus caballus (horse)
Lineage: Eukaryota; Metazoa; Chordata; Mammalia; Perissodactyla; Equidae
Description: lncRNA (ENSECAG00000044055.1)
Source: RNAcentral
AGUGUUUUACAUGCAUUAUUUCUCUUCAUCCUCAUUGUAACUAGAAGAGGUAGAUACUAUUAUUAUUGCAUCUUUAGAGAUUACAAAUUCGAGGUUGAUAGAGGCUUACAGCAGAUUUAUAAUGUCUAAGGCUGCGUGGCUAGUGGGUAUUUGGGAUAAGACUCAAACUCAGUUCUGUCUGACUUCAGAGUCUGUUGCGGGUUGGGUUCCCCGGGAAUCAGACUCCAACAUGGAGAUGUGCAGGCAGGAAUUUCAUGCAGAGCGCUCCCAGGAUCACGCAUAGAAGGGAGAAGUCAGACUGCAAUGCCACCUCAACAGAGGCCUCCGCUCAUGCAAGAGGGAAGUAUGGAGCUGCGGUCGCAAAAAGGCUGGACCUUGGGACUCCCUCUUCACCCAGUCAUUGGAUGCAGAACUUGGGCUAGGUUGCGCUCUUCAGCCAGGGGGAGGCCCCCAGAGGACAGCUGAGAGCUGUUGGCAGCCAACGCUUCCAGCAACUGGGAGAACAAGUGCCUGAGUCCUGGAGUAGGGGUCAGGGUGGCAUGCCACAGUAUCCACUACAGAGCCCGUGCACCUAUCCCACCUGCACUCCAGCUCAAAUAAGGGAACAGCUGAGAACGUGCCGUGGCCUAAGGAAGAGGAGAGAUACAUACUGCAGACCUUGACGCAGCCUGCAGCUUGGAGCCAAGACCAGCCAAGCCCCUCUGGGCCCAGCCUAGAUCAGCCCACCUACAGAAGCAUAUGUGACAAUAAAUGAUUGUUGUUUUAUACCACCGAGUUUUGGGGUGGCUGGUUAUGCAGCAAGAGCUGACUGACACACAUUUACAAAGUUGUAGAGGAUAAUCCACGUGGAUGUGUCACGCAUAAUUUCUACUGAUUAUGGUUUUUCCUUAGGAACUGUCUUUAGACCUUAAUCUCCAUAUAGGAUGUGACUCCUGUGUUUAAACAUGGAAAAAACUGGGCCAGGCAUUUUUCUCCGCAUCUGUGGCAGAGACCACUAAAAGGCCCCUAAUAAAUGUCUCCUUUUCUUCUAGAACAACAAGAAACUCCAGGGUCCCCAAACCAUUGGGAAAUAGGGCUAUAAAAUCUGUGUGGUCCCAAAAUACAACACUAAUGUCUAUUAAAUAUGGCCAUGAGGAUACUAGAUAAGGAAGAGUUUCCCCAAGGGAAGAGCCAAGGGUCAUGAAGGUCAGAGGACAGGGACACUUCUCCUAGAAAGCAGGACCAACUCACCUGACAGACAAAAAUGUCUGUCCAAUUCUUGAACUUUGAAUAGUAUCUAGAGGUCAUCUCCCUUGUGCCUAGGCACAUGGUCCUCCAUAUAAAUGCUAAUCUUCCCAACCUCCUUUAUAGCAAAGUAUGGCAUGUAACUGAGUUCUGUCCAAUAGGAUGUGAAU